Molecule: long non-coding RNA, 463 nt
Filed under: Rattus norvegicus (Norway rat)
Lineage: Eukaryota; Metazoa; Chordata; Mammalia; Rodentia; Muridae
Description: long non-coding RNA NONRATT000841
Source: RNAcentral
UACAGAGAGUGCCCCGCUAUUGCGCUAUUGCCGCGUCUCCAGGGCGAUUCCAUGGCAUCCCUCCAUUUUGAAAUGCACGGACUCUGGAAUCCAGCAAUUUCACUCACAGGGUUUGCGGCCCCAAGAAUAAUCUCUAGGUAUAAGGAGGCUCAGGGUAUGGGGUUGGGGAUUUAGCUCAGUGGUAAAGCGCUUACCUAGGAAGCGCAAGGCCCUGGGUUCGGUCCCCAGCUCCGGAAAAAAAAAAAAAAGAACCAAAAAAAAAAAAAAAAAAAAAAAAAAAAAAGGAGGCUCAGGGUACACGAAUAUUCAAAGGGUUGUUGUUUGUGGUGGGAAAAUCCAGACCGAAACCCAGGCGUGGUGGUACAGGCCUAAAAUCUCAGUACCUAGGAAGCUUUAGCCUAGGAUAUAUUAGCAGUUCCAGGACCACCUAAGCUACAAAGUGAGAGAGGAAAAAGAAAAGAAA